CCUACGGGAGGCAGCAGUGAGGAAUAUUGGUCAAUGGUCGGGAGACUGAACCAGCCAAGCCGCGUGAGGGAUGAAGGUACAGAGUAUUGUAAACCUCUUUUGUCAGGGAACAAAGGCGGGGACGCGUCCCCGGAUGAGUGUACCUGAAGAAAAAGCAUCGGCUAACUCCGUGCCAGCAGCCGCGGUAAUACGGAGGAUGCGAGCGUUAUCCGGAUUUAUUGGGUUUAAAGGGUGCGCAGGCGGUCUGUUAAGUCCGCGGUCAAAGCCCGGGGCUCAACCCCGGCCCGCCGUUGAAACUGGCAGUCUCGAGUUGGAGAGAAGUAUGCGGAAUGCGCGGUGUAGCGGUGAAAUGCAUAGAUAUCGCGCAGAACUCCGAUUGCGAAGGCAGCAUGCCGGCUCCACACUGACGCUGAGGCACGAAAGCGUGGGUAUCGAACAGGAUUAGAUACCCUGGUAGUC
This 459-nucleotide ribosomal RNA is filed under the name uncultured bacterium. RNAcentral's name for it is "partial 16S ribosomal RNA". It matches the Rfam family "Bacterial small subunit ribosomal RNA", at positions 338 to 795 of the family's 1533-position model. The record is from RNAcentral.